This 253-nucleotide ribosomal RNA is filed under the name uncultured bacterium. RNAcentral's name for it is "partial 16S ribosomal RNA". It matches the Rfam family "Bacterial small subunit ribosomal RNA", at positions 524 to 776 of the family's 1533-position model. The record is from RNAcentral.
UACGGAGGAUGCAAGCGUUAUCCGGAAUGAUUGGGCGUAAAGCGUCCGCAGGUGGCUGUGUAAGUCUGCUGUCAAAGAGCAAAGCUCAACUUUGUAAAGGCAGUGGAAACUACACGGCUAGAGUGCAGAAGGGGCAACUGGAAUUCUUGGUGUAGCGGUGAAAUGCGUAGAUAUCAAGAGGAACACCUGCGGCGAAGGCGGGUUGCUGGGCUGACACUGACGCUGAAGCGCGAAAGCCAGGGGAGCGAACGGG